GUGCUCACUUUGGCAGCACAUAUACUGCAACUGGAACCAUACAGAGAUUAGCAUGGACCCUGUGCAAGGAUGACACGCAAAUUCAUGAAGCAUUCCAUAUUUUU
Molecule: small nuclear RNA, 104 nt
Organism: Nomascus leucogenys (northern white-cheeked gibbon)
Lineage: Eukaryota; Metazoa; Chordata; Mammalia; Primates; Hylobatidae
Source: Ensembl